GAGCGGUAGAGAGAAGCUUGCUUCUCUUGAGAGCGGCGGACGGGUGAGUAAUGCCUAGGAAUCUGCCUGGUAGUGGGGGAUAACGUUCGGAAACGGACGCUAAUACCGCAUACGUCCUACGGGAGAAAGCAGGGGACCUUCGGGCCUUGCGCUAUCAGAUGAGCCUAGGUCGGAUUAGCUAGUUGGUGAGGUAAUGGCUCACCAAGGCGACGAUCCGUAACUGGUCUGAGAGGAUGAUCAGUCACACUGGAACUGAGACACGGUCCAGACUCCUACGGGAGGCAGCAGUGGGGAAUAUUGGACAAUGGGCGAAAGCCUGAUCCAGCCAUGCCGCGUGUGUGAAGAAGGUCUUCGGAUUGUAAAGCACUUUAAGUUGGGAGGAAGGGUUGUAGAUUAAUACUCUGCAAUUUUGACGUUACCGACAGAAUAAGCACCGGCUAACUCUGUGCCAGCAGCCGCGGUAAUACAGAGGGUGCAAGCGUUAAUCGGAAUUACUGGGCGUAAAGCGCGCGUAGGUGGUUUGUUAAGUUGGAUGUGAAAUCCCCGGGCUCAACCUGGGAACUGCAUUCAAGACUGACUGACUAGAGUAUGGUAGAGGGUGGUGGAAUUUCCUGUGUAGCGGUGAAAUGCGUAGAUAUAGGAAGGAACACCAGUGGCGAAGGCGACCACCUGGACUAAUACUGACACUGAGGUGCGAAAGCGUGG
RNAcentral lists this ribosomal RNA (705 nucleotides) under uncultured bacterium. RNAcentral describes it as "bacterial SSU rRNA". It matches the Rfam family "Bacterial small subunit ribosomal RNA", at positions 64 to 764 of the family's 1533-position model. The record is from RNAcentral.